Molecule: non-coding RNA, 1324 nt
Organism: Lolium perenne
Lineage: Eukaryota; Viridiplantae; Streptophyta; Magnoliopsida; Poales; Poaceae
Source: RefSeq, a predicted model, not a curated record
GGCGCAAGCGAAGCAGGUGAGCGACGAGGACGAACACCUUGCCAAGGCGAGGGCGCAGGUCUGUGUGGAGAUGGCCGAGAAGUAGGGUGGGAUCGCCGCACUGAAGAUGGAGUGCACCACGCUGAAGCAGGGGAGUGCCCGAAAUUGUUUGUUCUAACUCCCGCAGGGUUUGCUAUCCUGGAAAUAUGUGCACCUAAAUCGUAAGGAAUUUGAUGACCUUACUUCCAAGGAACAUGUAGCUGCAUUCUCUGUGAAUAUGCUGCUCUUGUCCUUCGAUUUAAGAGAGGAUCGUGGGUUGCUUAGCAUGCUUCAUUUGCAUCCAUCACCUACGGUAGUUAAUUGUUGCUUUAGGCCUAAAUCAUACACAUUAUAGAGUUACCUGACCUUUUUAUUUGUGUAUUAUUAGAGUACUGUCUAUUGACUUCGAUAGCACUUUGUAUCUCACCAUCAUAUUUAGAACAUAAGUGAUGAUAGCAAUAGCACUAUUUUAUAUUUCAAAUCUCAGCCAAAGCGAGCUGGAGAGGAUCACCGGUUACUUCAUCCUCUUAUGCUUGGUAGGCUCCAGCGAGCUAAGUAAGGUUGUAUAAGGCUUAAUGCUUAAUUUUUAAUAUGGCCGUCCUUUUGAACAAACAAAGAUAGCUUGGCUCCUUUCAUUAGUAGACAAAUAUUGGCUCUGAUGCACAACUAGACUGGACUGGUGUUUGGUAAAUAUGUUUCCUAAAAAUGUGUUUGCUAAAUAUGUUUCCUAAGCUUGAUUGGAGAUUGGGUUUCCCUAAUUCUAGGCGACUGAUUUGAUUUUGGAAUCUCUAUUUUCAUGCUGGUGCUAUUACUACUGUGAUUAAUAUGUAUCUCUUGUUCUGUGAUAAGCUGCACAUUUGUUACUCAAACAAUUUCUCAAGUCAGUUCCAACUUUCUAACGUUAAUCUGCAUACUCUUACUUGGUCUUGCAGGUCACGAAAGACCCAGUUGGCUCAUACUCUUUGUGUCUGCACUCAGAGCCUUACAUGGACCAAGGGCAUGUCUGAAGCAAAGGUUGAUAAGAUCUGUCAGGCUGCUGAAAAACUUCUGAGUCAGGGUUUCAUGACAGGAAGCGAUCUCCUUAUCAAGGUAAGGAAUUAGGAGCUAAGGUACUGAUUACAGAUGAGCAUAUAGGGCCUUAGUGCUAUUGUGUGAAUAGUACUGCUAUGCUAAAUGGCUAUAAAUAAUACUCUGUAGCUUGUUUCAGGAAUAAGCUUGAGUGCUUUUAUUCUUAUUCAUGAAUAGUACUGCUAUCCUAAACUGACUAUAAAUAACACCCCGUAGCUUGUUUCAGGAAUAAGCUUGA